This 73-nucleotide ribosomal RNA is filed under the name uncultured bacterium. Its description in RNAcentral is "partial 16S ribosomal RNA". The record is from RNAcentral.
AAAGGCCUUCGGGUUGUAAACCACUUUUGUCUGGGAAGAAACGGCUCUUACUAAUAUUGGGAGCUAAUGACGG